This is a long non-coding RNA of Hevea brasiliensis (rubber tree), 474 nucleotides long. RefSeq lists it as uncharacterized. The transcript has 4 exons. Lineage: Eukaryota; Viridiplantae; Streptophyta; Magnoliopsida; Malpighiales; Euphorbiaceae. The record is from RefSeq and is a predicted model, not a curated record.
UUUUAAAUUAAUUUGGACAAAAAUUGAUAAUGGCUAAAUUGAUCACACCUUUUGCUUGCAUAGGUACGGCAGGUCCUUUGGCGCGAGUUUAAGCCACAUUGAACGACACUGUUUAGCAUCUUCCUAACUAUAUAUCAACAGAAGCAGUGGAGCAGAGUCUGUUUCAGUUUCUCUGUGCGCAGAACACGCCCUGAUUCAAAUAGAAAGGAAGAAGCCAUGGAUGCCCCCGACAGCUACGAGCGAUUAGUUGUUCCAGAGGGUACUAAAAAAAAAUUUUCUUUGCUAGGGUUUCGUACGAGAGAGACACGAAGAUCAUAAAUGCAGCCUUGUUCACUGUAGAGAGAGAGGACCAUACAAUUGGCAACAUUCUUCGCAUAUUCAUUCAACUAGCCAGUCUUCGCCAAUGCAGGCAUAUAACCAGGCUAUCAAUGAUCUAGACAAGGAACUUGACCAUUUGAAGAAUGCAUUUGAGGC